GUGCUUGCUUCGGCAGCACAUAUACUAAAAUUGGAAUGAUACAGAGAAGAUUAGCAUGGCUCCUGCACAAGGAUGACACACAAUUCAUGAAGCAUUCCAUAUUUUU
RNAcentral lists this small nuclear RNA (106 nucleotides) under Tupaia belangeri chinensis (Chinese tree shrew). Lineage: Eukaryota; Metazoa; Chordata; Mammalia; Scandentia; Tupaiidae. The record is from RNAcentral.